This 752-nucleotide ribosomal RNA is filed under the name Pseudomonas plecoglossicida. Its description in RNAcentral is "bacterial SSU rRNA". It matches the Rfam family "Bacterial small subunit ribosomal RNA", at positions 90 to 836 of the family's 1533-position model. The record is from RNAcentral. Lineage: Bacteria; Pseudomonadati; Pseudomonadota; Gammaproteobacteria; Pseudomonadales; Pseudomonadaceae.
AUUCAGCGGCGGACGGGUGAGUAAUGCCUAGGAAUCUGCCUGGUAGUGGGGGACAACGUUUCGAAAGGAACGCUAAUACCGAAUACGUCCUACGGGAGAAAGUGGGGGAUCUUCGGGCCUUGCGCUAAUAGAUGAGCCUAGGUCGGAUUAGCUAGUUGGUGGGGUAAUGGCCCACCAAGGCGACGAUCCGUAACUGGUCUGAGAGGAUGAUCAGUCACACUGGAACUGAGACACGGUCCAGACUCCUACGGGAGGCAGCAGUGGGGAAUAUUGGACAAUGGGCGAAAGCCUGAUCCAGCCAUGCCGCGUGUGUGAAGAAGGUCUUCGGAUUGUAAAGCACUUUAAGUUGGGAGGAAGGGUAGUAAGUUAAUACUCUGCAAUUUUGACGUUACCGACAGAAUAAGCACCGGCUAACUUCGUGCCAGCAGCCGCGGUAAUACGAAGGGUGCAAGCGUUAAUCGGAAUUACUGGGCGUAAAGCGCGCGUAGGUGGUUCAGCAAGUUGGAUGUGAAAGCCCCGGGCUCAACCUGGGAACUGCAUCCAAAACUGGCAAGCUAGAGUACGGUAGAGGGUGGUGGAAUUUCCUGUGUAGCGGUGAAAUGCGUAGAUAUAGGAAGGAACACCAGUGGCGAAGGCGACCACCUGGACUGAUACUGACACUGAGGUGCGAAAGCGUGGGGAGCAAACAGGAUUAGAUACCCUGGUAGUCCACGCCGUAAACGAUGUCGACUAGCCGUUGGGAUCAGCUAACG